AUCUUCCAGGUAUGCUGUCGCAGCUGUUUCUCGACUGAGAGAUAUUGAAAUACCAGCAGAGGAUCUCACCAGCGCCCGGACCAAACAUAACCUUAGUCGCUGGAUGCAAGUUGUUAUCUACUACUCGUUGAGGUUGCUGCUAGCACCGGUAGUGGAGUCUGUCAUACUCCUGGACAGACUGAUCUUCCUCUAUGAAACAGGUGCAGCAGAGAGUCUACUUGUACCAACAUUUGACCCACUCUUGUCACCAAGGAAUCAUGUCCUGGUUGCUCUCAAACCCACUAAUAAAUUGUGACCUCCAAAUAUGUGUGUAUCUCCUUCCACAAGAAGGCUGUGUGGGCCAGCAGGCUGCCAACACAUACAGCCUGCUGGAAAAGUCAGUCAAGAGAAAGUGGUGGUCCUAGGCUGGCCUACCAGGGUUGAAAAACUCUCAGAACCAGCCACCGAUAUAUCACUGGUAUAUCACUGGUAUAUCACAGAUACAUCACUGGUACAUCACUGGUAUAUCACUGGUAUAUCACUGGUAUAUCACUGGUAUAUCACUGGUAUAUCAUUGGUACAUCACUGGUAUAUCAUUGGCAUAAACAUCACUCUCUAAUACGUGAUAAUUAUUAUUAAUUUAUGGGGAGACCUAAACCUAAA
Cherax quadricarinatus is the source of this 642-nucleotide non-coding RNA. The record is from RefSeq and is a predicted model, not a curated record. NCBI's taxonomy places the organism in Eukaryota, Metazoa, Arthropoda, Malacostraca, Decapoda, Parastacidae.